Molecule: ribosomal RNA, 253 nt
Filed under: uncultured bacterium
Lineage: Bacteria
Description: partial 16S ribosomal RNA
Rfam family: Bacterial small subunit ribosomal RNA
Source: RNAcentral
UACGUAGGCAGCAAGCGUUGUUCGGAGUUACUGGGCGUAAAGGGUGUUUAGGCGGUCUUCUAAGUUUGGUGUGAAAUCUCCCGGCUCAACUGGGAGGGUGCGCCGAAAACUGGAAGGCUAGAGUACUGGAUGGGAGAGUGGAAUUCCUGGUGUAGCGGUGAAAUGCGUAGAUAUCAGGAGGAACACCUGUGGUGUAGACGGCUCUCUGGACAGUAACUGACGCUGAGACACGAAAGCGUGGGUAGCAAACAGG